Zea mays is the source of this 3796-nucleotide long non-coding RNA. RefSeq lists it as uncharacterized. Lineage: Eukaryota; Viridiplantae; Streptophyta; Magnoliopsida; Poales; Poaceae. The transcript has 2 exons. The record is from RefSeq and is a predicted model, not a curated record.
CUGUGAAAUUCUUCUAUUGCAUGCAGCUAAACUCAUCCUUAUCGUCUGCUCAUAUGCUCUCAACUUAUAUUCUUCUAUUGUACACUAUAACUGUGCUCAAAGCAGUACUCUUCUGCAUGCUAUCAAAAAAGUGGUGCUUUUUUUUGUAUAGACUAACCUUUCUUAGUAGUUCAGUAAUGCAGGCAAUGAGCAUUUUAGAUUACCAUUGUUUCUCCCAACAUUAGUCAGUAAAUGAAUGUGUAGCAUGACGACAACUGCUGAAUGUUUUUUUGAUUUAAUGUUUACGCUAGAUUAUCUCAGCGUAAUGGUUAUAUCUUUACAGUUUCGAUGACCAUUCAAUCUUUUGAUAGACAUCAUUGAGAGUGAAUUGCACAUUGAAUCACUGUAUUGCUUGGCUGAUUCAAGUAGGUCAUGAACUCCUAAACUGCAUCUUCAGGCUACUUUAAAUGUGUCAGUCUAGAUCAUUAGCGUGCUAAGUCACGUAUAACCAAUGACAUGGCUUGUUGAGUUGAACAAUGCACAUGACAUACAACUAGUUGCAAUACAGGUACCUCAAUAUACUAGAGGUAGCUAAACCUCUUGUCACAGGUUCACAUCCAGUUGCCCACUAGUUUUGUCCUUGAACUACGCAGAAGAGCUGCGUGUCAUUUCAUUAAGACAGAUGAAGAAGCACAAAAGACUGAACAGAGGCCCAGCCCGAUUACAAGAGAGCAAAGACAAGUACUGUGUUUGAAGCCCUUACUGAGAUGAGAUGGAUCUCUGAUAUAGAGAGAGUAGUUACAGUGGCUGCCUUGACUGAAUACCUCGGCCUAUGGAACCUCCUUUCAGAUUCUGUACUGCAGCCAGAGUUCAAUUCAGGCCAUGGGAAAGAAUAUGAAAGCGCUGGGCACCUGGUAAGUGUAAAUUCUUCAUGCGGUUCGUUUCCCAUAAGGCCAUAACAAAUGUUGGACCGCCGAUCGCCUCGCCAAAAGGGGGCUGCCACACCCUGAAUGCUGUCCACUUUGCGACCAAGUUGAGGAGACAAUUGACCACUUUCCAGUUUCAUGUUUUUUCACUCGGCAACUGUGGUUCAACAUCCUGCAUAAGUUUGGUGUGCAGUCCCUAUGUCCUCAGCCCAACGACAUCUCCUUUAAUGAUCGGUGGGCAAGAUUAGUUUCUAGAAUGGAUGGUUAGAUAAAAAACUUCUCAACUCCAUAAUGUUGGGGGCCUGAUCAAUCUAAAAUGACCGUAGUUGCUACUCAUUAGAGAGGAGUUUCUAUUUUGGAGUCUGGAUGGGCUAGAGGAAUUUUUGAUCUCUUUGCUUACUGCCAAGUGCAGACUAGGGCUCUUUUUUGGUUGAUGUCAAGUCUUUCACUGUAAUAGGCUAGCAGUGUGUCGGUGAAAAGAUCCCCGGGCCCUUGAGACCCACUAGUGAGUGGAAGGACAAGGGAAAGGAAAGCUCCGGAAGCACCCACUCCCGGAUAGUCCUGAGGCAUCGAGCCCGAGAUCGGGCGAGCUAGAGCUAGAAGGGGGGUCGGGCGAAUCGAGGGGAAGCCACUCGAGUGGAUUCCGCGCCUGACCCAAGAUCGACCCAUCGGAACUGACCGACCACAUUAACGGCUCCUAGCACCGAGCCGCCGUGGUAGAGUCGGUCCUCCUUCCACUCAUGACCUACGGGCCCCUAGGCUUGCGGCCCACUCAUGUUCUAUCAACCCUAGGCCUGAGUGCACUGGCCGUCAACAGGACCCGCAACAUGAUAAGCCAUGACGAGACGCAGGCUACGGAGGCUUGGGGCCAGCGUGGCGCACAUGCGGUAAUAAUGGUGUCGGAGCUCUUCGCCACCCACGUCGCUAGUCUUAAAGAGCGCGUCUAGAGAAGCCCAGCCGACCGAAGUGCAUGCCGACAGGCACGACUUUACCGUGGUAGAACACCUCAUUUUAGCACAGUGCAAUAGCUCCUUGAGAAGCUAUCGGUAACCGACCCACACCUUGUACUUUAAAAGGGGAACGAUCGGCCUAGCACGGGUGGCCUCCAAUCCCUCUGCCCACAACCGGGAGACCUUUCUUUUGAGAAUUGGUGGAGAAGGUGUAACUAGGCUAUCACUACUCUAGUAAGAAAAGGAUUGAACUCAACCAUCAUCUUGGGAACCUAGUGUUUGUGGAGACAUCACAAUAGAUUUGUUUUUGAUGGGACCUCUCCUAAUGCUAGUCUUUUAACUAUGGCAGAGGAUGAUUUGAAGCUCUGGAGUUUAGUAGGCGCAAAGGGUCUUUCCCUCUUGCGUGGUCUGUUAGGGGGAAAUGGAGUCCGAGCCUCUAGUCUUUUAGUCCUUUGUGUUUUUGGCGCGGUUUUGUCGCGUUGUAAUUAGUGGUUGUUGUAGGAUUUCUUAACCCCUUGUUUCUCCUUAAUAUAAAUGAUAUGCAACUCUCCUGCGUAUUUGAGAAAAAAUGAUACGCGACCAGCACAAAACACGCGUAGACGGACGGAGGACCACACUAGAGCGCGCAGAAGACUAUAGAGGCCAAAGCCAAGGAGUACGACACCCAAGACUUAGCUAGGUCGAGAGCACCAAAUUCGUAGUCCUUAGGCCACUCCACGCAUAAGAGACUUGGGAGCCUCCUCCCUCUCUUGCCCGCUUGUAACCCCUACUACGAGCAUUGAGCAACAAAGGUGUUGGUAACGCGAGCCAUCGAAGACUGGAUGUAGAGACGUUCUGUCCGAACCAGUAUAAAUCUCGCGCCCACUGAGCACACAAUCCGGACCCCCGGAACGCGCACAAACAAAUUUAUUUGUUGGAGCUGGUUCAAAACACAGACAGUUGGCGCACUAGGAAGGGGACUUGCAUGUUCUCGACGACUUCUCCAGGCUCCGGAUGGCCGACCACGUCAUAGUCUGGGCCCCGGAACGAUCAUCCGUUUUGGGAGCCUCGAUGUCAGGGCCCAAGAGGGCCCGCUAUAGUGCCGGUACAGUAAUAGCAUCGCUGUAGCACGCCCCUUAGGUUAUUUAGCCUGUCCCCAACAAGGGCUGCUAUAACGUUCUGUACUCUAAAUAUAGCGCUCGCAGUUGAACUCUACGCGCCCAACAAUAGACUGUAAACGAUACUCUAAAAUUUAGAGGACGCCGCACGCACGCUAGAUGUGGAGACUUCUGAGCGUCCGCUAUCCGAGCGAGGGAUCGGGCUCCCGCGGGGGUGAAAUUUCCGCACUCUCGGUUCUCCCGUCCCUGGCGACUUCGAUCCCUAUUGGCGAGGGGGCCUCGCGGCGUGGGUCGGCGGAGGAGGCGGCCAAGCUCAUGUUUCUGAACCAUAUUUUUGUUGUUAUUCCUAGUUGUUUGCGAAUUUGACAUUUUUCAGUACUUUCAUGCUUGAACAAUGUAAUGUUGGUUGAUGAUACUGGACUUGUUAUUUUAUUACAAACUUUCAGCAUGACACAUCGACAUAUUACUCUUCUUGGACACACAUGACACAUUACACAAUGAAGUUUGGCACAAACUGAAACUACGACAUGACACAUUACACCUGACACUACGACAUUUUAUAAAAUGUCGUCAUUUUAUUGUUGAUGCAAACAUAAACUUCAAACUUAAGCAGCUCCAGAUCCAAGGCGCACCCAGUGGUGGUGGAUAAGAUCAACCUGCAACUGAGUAUAUCUGACGGGAUCAUGCAGUUGCUCGUACAUAUUGUUGUUGUACUCAUUGCGCUCGGCCAUGCAACCAUGACUAGUGUCCGCCAAUACUCCGAUGUUGUCGAAGCUUGUGUUCAAAGAUGAAGGACCUUUGUCUUCUACUACCAUGUUGUGCAAGAUGAUGCAAGUUUUCAUUA